GAGGGUAGAGCUCAGUGGUGGAGCUCGUGCUUAGCAGGCAUGAAGUCCUGGGUUCAAACCCCAGUACCUUCA
Molecule: transfer RNA, 72 nt
Filed under: Camelus bactrianus (Bactrian camel)
Lineage: Eukaryota; Metazoa; Chordata; Mammalia; Artiodactyla; Camelidae
Also listed under: 2 other names
Rfam family: tRNA
About the family: Transfer RNA (tRNA) molecules are approximately 80 nucleotides in length. Their secondary structure includes four short double-helical elements and three loops (D, anti-codon, and T loops).
Source: Rfam by way of RNAcentral